GAUGGACGCUGGCGGCGUGCCUAACACAUGCAAGUCGAGCGGCAGCGCGGGGUGCUUGCACCCUGUCGGCGAGCGGCGGACGGCUGAGUAACGCGUGGGAACGUGCCCCAAAGUGAGGAAUAACUGCCCGAAAGGGUAGCUAAUACCGCAUAUUAUCUUCGGAUCAAAGGAUUUAUCCGCUUUGGGAGCGGCUCGCGUCGGAUUAGGUAGUUGGUGAGGUAAUGGCUCACCAAGCCGACGAUCCGUAGCUGGUCUGAGAGGAUGACCAGCCAGACUGGAACUGAGACACGGUCCAGACUCCUACGGGAGGCAGCAGUGAGGAAUCUUCCACAAUGGGCGAAAGCCUGAUGGAGCAACGCCGCGUGCAGGACGAAGGCCUUCGGGUUGUAAACUGCUUUUAUAAGUGAGGAAUAUGACGGUAACUUAUGAAUAAGGAUCGGCUAACUACGUG
RNAcentral lists this ribosomal RNA (451 nucleotides) under uncultured bacterium. RNAcentral's name for it is "partial 16S ribosomal RNA". It matches the Rfam family "Bacterial small subunit ribosomal RNA", at positions 28 to 507 of the family's 1533-position model. The record is from RNAcentral.